UACGGGGGGGGCAAGCGUUGUUCGGAAUUACUGGGCGUAAAGGGUUUGUAGGUGGCCUGCUAAGUCGGACGUGAAAUCCCUCGGCUUAACUGGGGAACUGCGUCUGAUACUGGUUGGCUUGAGUUUGGGAGAGGGAUGCGGAAUUCCAGGUGUAGCGGUGAAAUGCGUAGAUAUCUGGAGGAACACCGGUGGCGAAGGCGGCAGCCUGGACCGACACUGACACUGAGGAGCGAAAGCCAGGGGAGCAAACGGG
This 253-nucleotide ribosomal RNA is filed under the name uncultured bacterium. RNAcentral's name for it is "partial 16S ribosomal RNA". It matches the Rfam family "Bacterial small subunit ribosomal RNA", at positions 524 to 776 of the family's 1533-position model. The record is from RNAcentral.